RNAcentral lists this ribosomal RNA (464 nucleotides) under uncultured Klebsiella sp. Its description in RNAcentral is "bacterial SSU rRNA". It matches the Rfam family "Bacterial small subunit ribosomal RNA", at positions 338 to 795 of the family's 1533-position model. The record is from RNAcentral. Lineage: Bacteria; Pseudomonadati; Pseudomonadota; Gammaproteobacteria; Enterobacterales; Enterobacteriaceae.
CCUACGGGUGGCAGCAGUGGGGAAUAUUGCACAAUGGGCGCAAGCCUGAUGCAGCCAUGCCGCGUGUGUGAAGAAGGCCUUCGGGUUGUAAAGCACUUUCAGCGGGGAGGAAGGCGUUAAGGUUAAUAACCUUGUCGAUUGACGUUACCCGCAGAAGAAGCACCGGCUAACUCCGUGCCAGCAGCCGCGGUAAUACGGAGGGUGCAAGCGUUAAUCGGAAUUACUGGGCGUAAAGCGCACGCAGGCGGUCUGUCAAGUCGGAUGUGAAAUCCCCGGGCUCAACCUGGGAACUGCAUUCGAAACUGGCAGGCUAGAGUCUUGUAGAGGGGGGUAGAAUUCCAGGGGUAGCGGUGAAAUGCGUAGAGAUCUGGAGGAAUACCGGUGGCGAAGGCGGCCCCCUGACAAAGACUGACGCUCAGGUGCGAAAGCGUGGGGAGCAAACAGGAUUAGAUACCCUAGUAGUC